RNAcentral lists this ribosomal RNA (393 nucleotides) under Triticum aestivum (bread wheat). RNAcentral describes it as "partial small subunit ribosomal RNA". The record is from RNAcentral. Lineage: Eukaryota; Viridiplantae; Streptophyta; Magnoliopsida; Poales; Poaceae.
AUGACGGAAGCAAUCACAGAUAAGUAUGUGGGCCUGCCUGCUCAAGUUGGAAUAAACAGAUCAGAUAGCUUCCAAGAUUUGGUUGAUAGAGUUGUCCAAAGGUUUAUUGGUUACAAAGAAAAUAUCCUAUCAUACGGUGGGAAGGAAGUUUUACUUAAGGCGGUGGCUCGGGCCAUUCCAACAUAUGCAAUGUCAGUCUUUAAACUCCCUAAACAGAUAACAAAAGGGAUCACAGAUGCUAUGUCCCGUUACUGGUGGGGAGAUGAAGAUGUGAAAAAGCAUAUGCAUUGGUUCGCCUGGUGGAAGAUGUGCAUACCAAAGAAAAGAGGAGGUAUUGGUUUCAGAGAUAUAUCAUGUUUUAAUCUAGCGAUGCUAGCCAAACAGGUCUGGAGG